This 734-nucleotide long non-coding RNA is filed under the name Vigna radiata. Its description in RNAcentral is "long non-coding RNA (VRAD_LNC006860)". Lineage: Eukaryota; Viridiplantae; Streptophyta; Magnoliopsida; Fabales; Fabaceae. The record is from RNAcentral.
UUUUUUUAUAAAUAAAGGUAGAAAGAUAAAAACAGAAAGAGAUAUUUUCUUUUUGAAUAAAGAUAAAAAAAAAUAAAAGCAAAAAAGUAAAAACAGAAAAAUAAAAUCACCCAUCAGUAGGUGUUGAUAUUCUUUUCUUUUUUUUUCUUCCUGUCGAGUCUUUUCAAAAGGUUGACCAAACCAAGCACCUGUAUCCAUGUAUCAAUCAUAAGAACUUUAAUCUCCAAUUUCUUGAAGAUAUCCAUAAAGCACUUAAUCUUCUUUUCUUUCCUAUGAUUUUUCUUCUGAUGAGGAAGGGGUUUUGCAUAUGAUUUUUUCUUCUUCCCUCUCUUCCUCUUUUUCUCAAUCUUUUCCUCCCUCAACUUUCUCUUUUUAUUUUUCCUUGAUUUCUUUUUUAUUUUCGCAAUUUUUUUCUAUUUUUCUUUUCUCUCAACCACUUCUUUUUCUCUCUCCUCAUCUUUCUCUCCCUCACUCAACUUUUGUGUUUCUUCCUCUAUCUUUUCCUCCUCCAUCUUCUCCUCAUCAAUAACCUUAUUAAUUUGUGUCUCCAAAUUCCUGAAGGUAACUUCAUAGCUCUUGGAAUCGUACUUCUUCAAAAAUUUGUCGAACUUUUCAUUAAGGCUUUUGACUUGUUCCGUCAAAUCAACUAUCUGAUGAUAUAGUUGUUGAUCAUCCUCCCACGUUUCUGUUGGUAAAGAAAGUUGUUGCAGCCAUAAACGUUGUUCAGCUUCCCC